GCCCCGAAAGGGGCAAGUAGAGUGGCAAACGGGUGAGUAACACGUGGGUGACCUGCCUUCGAGCGGGGGAUAACGUCCCGAAAGGGACGCUAAUACCGCAUAACAUCCUGCCUUUGAAGAGGUGGAGAUCAAAGCUGGGGAUCGCAAGACCCGGCACUUGAAGAGGGGCCCGCGUCUGAUUAGCUAGUUGGUGGGGUAAUGGCCUACCAAGGCAACGAUCAGUAUCCGGCCUGAGAGGGCGGACGGACACACUGGGACUGAGACACGGCCCAGACUCCUACGGGAGGCAGCAGUGGGGAAUUGUUCGCAAUGGGCGCAAGCCUGACGACGCAACGCCGCGUGGAGGAUGAAGAUUUUCGGAUCGUAAACUCCUGUCGAAUGGGACGAACAGAUUGCGGGUUAACAGCCCGUAGUCCUGACGGUACCGUUAAAGGAAACCCCGGCUAACUCCGUGCCAGCAGCCGCGGUAAUACGGGGGGGGUAAGCGUUGUUCGGAAUUACUGGGCGUAAAGGGCUCGUAGGCGGCCAACUAAGUCAUACGUGAAAUCCCUCAGCUUAACUGGGGAACUGCGUGUGAUACUGGAUGGCUUGGAUUUGGGAGAGGGAUGCGGAAUUCCAGGUGUAGCGGUGAAAUGCGUAGAUAUCUGGAGGAACACCGGUGGCGAAGGCGGCAUCCUGGACCAAUAUUGACGCUGAGGAGCGAAAGCCAGGGGAGCAAACGGGAUUAGAUACCCCGGUAGUCCUGGCCCUAAACGAUGAAUGCUUGGUGUAGCGGGUAUCGAUCCCUGCUGUGCCGAAGCUAACGCAUUAAGCAUUCCGCCUGGGGAGUACGGUCGCAAGGCUG
This 844-nucleotide ribosomal RNA is filed under the name uncultured Acidobacteriota bacterium. RNAcentral's name for it is "bacterial SSU rRNA". It matches the Rfam family "Bacterial small subunit ribosomal RNA", at positions 74 to 896 of the family's 1533-position model. Lineage: Bacteria; Pseudomonadati; Acidobacteriota. The record is from RNAcentral.